RNAcentral lists this ribosomal RNA (435 nucleotides) under uncultured bacterium. Its description in RNAcentral is "bacterial SSU rRNA". It matches the Rfam family "Bacterial small subunit ribosomal RNA", at positions 29 to 507 of the family's 1533-position model. The record is from RNAcentral.
AACGAACGCUGGCGGCAGGCCUAACACAUGCAAGUCGAACGCUCGUAGCAAUACGGGAGUGGCAGACGGGUGCGUAACGCGUGGGAACAUACCCUUUGGUUCGGAAUAACUCAGGGAAACUUGAGCUAAUACCGGAUACGCCCGAGAGGGGAAAGAUUUAUUGCCGAAGGAUUGGCCCGCGUCUGAUUAGCUAGUUGGUAGGGUAACGGCCUACCAAGGCGACGAUCAGUAGCUGGUCUGAGAGGAUGAUCAGCCACACUGGGACUGAGACACGGCCCAGACUCCUACGGGAGGCAGCAGUGGGGAAUAUUGGACAAUGGGCGCAAGCCUGAUCCAGCCAUGCCGCGUGAGUGAUGACGGCCUUAGGGUUGUAAAGCUCUUUUACCUGGGAAGAUAAUGACGGUACCAGGAGAAUAAGCCCCGGCUAACUUCGUG